RNAcentral lists this transfer RNA (77 nucleotides) under Chloroflexota bacterium. Its description in RNAcentral is "tRNA-Pro". It matches the Rfam family "tRNA". Rfam says of the family: Transfer RNA (tRNA) molecules are approximately 80 nucleotides in length. Their secondary structure includes four short double-helical elements and three loops (D, anti-codon, and T loops). Lineage: Bacteria; Bacillati; Chloroflexota. The record is from RNAcentral.
CGGGCGGUGGCUCAGCCUGGUAGAGCACCACGUUCGGGACGUGGGGGUCGGAGGUUCAAAUCCUCUCCGCCCGACCA